Molecule: transfer-messenger RNA, 378 nt
Filed under: Chitinophagaceae
Lineage: Bacteria; Pseudomonadati; Bacteroidota; Chitinophagia; Chitinophagales
Also listed under: 1 other name
Description: Niabella sp016708305 Standard tmRNA
Rfam family: transfer-messenger RNA
About the family: Bacterial tmRNA, also known as 10Sa RNA or SsrA, is named for its dual tRNA and mRNA-like properties. Its role is to liberate the mRNA from a stalled ribosome.
Source: RNAcentral
CGGGGCGUUUGGUUUUGACAGCGUAGUUCUUUGAAAGUGUAAGCAUGCAGGGCGUUGAGUAAUUAGCCCUUUAAUCUGAAUACUCAAAAUAUAAAUGGCAAUACUCAAUUUGCCAUGGCUGCCUAAUCAGUGAUUAAGUAGUCAUUAGGGCCGUGCUGAGCAGGUUGUUCUGCCGCCAAGCUCCACCGCCGACUCAAAAAACAAAGUGCAGAAUGCUUUCCGGUUAGGCUGUGCAUCGGAAAAAAGACUAUCCAGCUACGUAAGGAAUCGGUUUGUUUCUUCCCUGUUCUUUGCCGACAAUUAAUACAGGAAAUAAGCAUGUAGAAAGCUUUUGAAGGAUAUGUUUGGACACCGGUUCGAUUCCGGUCGCCUCCACUU